UACCAGCACCCCGAGUGGUCGGGACGAUUAUUGGGCCUAAAGCAUCCGUAGCCGGUCCUACAAGUCUUCCGUUAAAUCCACCUGCUUAACAGAUGGGCUGCGGAAGAUACUAUAGGGCUAGGAGGCGGGAGAGGCAAGCGGUACUCAGUGGGUAGGGGUAAAUCCUCUGAUCCAUUGAAGACCACCAGUGGCGAAGGCGGCUUGCCAGAACGCGCUCGACGGUGAGGGAUGAAAGCUGGGGAGCAAACCGG
This 251-nucleotide ribosomal RNA is filed under the name uncultured bacterium. RNAcentral describes it as "partial 16S ribosomal RNA". It matches the Rfam family "Archaeal small subunit ribosomal RNA", at positions 474 to 727 of the family's 1478-position model. The record is from RNAcentral.